RNAcentral lists this ribosomal RNA (253 nucleotides) under uncultured bacterium. RNAcentral describes it as "partial 16S ribosomal RNA". It matches the Rfam family "Bacterial small subunit ribosomal RNA", at positions 524 to 776 of the family's 1533-position model. The record is from RNAcentral.
UACGGAGGGUGCAAGCGUUAUCCGGAUUCACUGGGUUUAAAGGGUGCGUAGGUGGGCUAGUAAGUCCGUGGUGAAAUCUCCAAGCUUAACUUGGAAACUGCCGUGGAUACUAUUAGUCUUGAAUAUUGUGAAGGUAAGCGGAAUAUGUCAUGUAGCGGUGAAAUGCUUAGAUAUGACAUAGAACACCCAUUGCGAAGGCAGCUCACUACGGGAAUAUUGACACUGAGGCACGAAAGCGUGGGGAUCAAACAGG